GUAUUCCGGCCGCGAUUCUCUUUCAGAUGGCUCUGAGACACGCUGCAAAAAAGACCCGUGCAGAACGAGCAGCUGUGGCCUGUGGGCGGCGGAACGACGGCGGUGGCUGCUUGCACGGGCCAGAUCCGUGCACGGCAGGGGCUGGGGAGGCUGAUUCGGAGGCGGGCGGCGACGCCGGGGUCGCCAGUGACGAUGAGGAAGGCUGGGGCGUGGCCUCCCGGGCGGAUCCAUGACAUCUGCGGCUCCUGGGCGGAAAGAAGAAUGGAGGUGAGGGAGAGAAGAAGGGAGAAAGGAGGGGAGGUGUGGCGUCCUAGGCAGGAGCUCGCCAGAGCGGGGCGACGGUGGACGGGCGCAGGAGAUGGAGGGAUUUGGAGCCGGCCGGUCGAGCGACACCAACCAGGCCACAGGUGGCGUAGACUUGACCAUCAGCACAAUGUCCAUCGUCGCAGAAGCAUAGGUGGUAGACAGUGAGCUUUUUGGAGGAAGCGAGACGAAGAUUUCUAUUCACGAAAAAGAUGGAGCCGCCAUCAGCAAGCACUAACGAGCAGCUCAGUCUCAGAUGACGCAUCGACUAGCUGAGGCAGGUUUCUAAUAGAGAAAUAAGGAGGAUAGUAAGACUUUUCCCAUGAUUCUCUUGGAGGUCAUGUCUCUAUGCCAUUCAAGGAUUUUGAUAUCUAAAUGUUAUGACAAUAUAUAUAUAGGGGAGAUAGCCCUCCACGUCCUGGUGGCCACUAUAUGCUGCAGCGAAGGGCACAUUUCAAUUAGUGAGGAGGUAGAUGCGGCGAUCCUGGAUGUGCCUUGACAUUGUGAUUUGUAGUUGUCAAGGACGUCAUUACCCAAGCCAUUCCUAUGCUUCGGUGAGUGGUACUUCCCCCACACUAAUUUGUUUGAUGAUUAUUGAGUGCUAUGACCUAAUUAAUGUGCAGAUUUAGACACACGACCAAGGAAUGAAAAACCUGCUCCUGAGAUCUUCAAAAUAGUACAAUGUUAGGUAUUGUAGAGUACAAUUUGUUAAGCUAUGUUUUGCAUGGAAGCUAAUCCAUAUUUGAGGUGUAAUAGAUACACAUGCCUGAAUCUGGAUACACUCCAAUGCUGAUGGUAUUACUUUCAGUCACUCACAAACAAUAAGGUUCAGCAUACAAGGCAGAGUCCACUGCUAUUGGACUCGGGUGCCGGUAUUCAAUUUCUUAUACAUUUUAUUUCUAUAGGACUUCUGAUUACUGGCUGCAAACUUUGUGCUCCCUCCGUAAAGAAAUAUAAGAGCGUUUAGAAUUUCUUUACAGAGGGAGUACAAGGCAGUCUGAGCUACCACUUGGUGAAGAUGGGAUCCAAUACGUUCAGUGAUACCUUUUUUUUGUAGGGAAUCACUGAUAUGAUACAACUACUACCUCUGUCAUAUGAUAAAAGACACUUUUGCAUUUCAAUUUAAACUGCAAAACCGUCUUAUAUUAUGGCAGGGAGGGAGUAUUUGUUAUCAGAUUUUUUUAGGGGAAUGUUAUCUGAUUUUUUUAAUACACCCAUGGAGAUGUCUCAAUGCUCAUUUAUAAAGCUUCCAUCUAUGAAUGAAUUUCCGAAUAUUACCAUCUGCAAUGUGUAUGUAUGAUAAUAGUAGUACACUUGCGAUGAUGUUGUUCAAGUAUUGUACAAUAGUUCCAUUCAAGUCAUUUUUUCCCGUUGCAUCGCACGGGCAUUUGUGCUAGUUUCAGUAAUUUAUUUUAUUCUUUACUUAGUAUGUAUGUAUUCAAUUAUUCAUCCAAGAUUCAUCCUUAAAUUUCAGUGUACACGAAAUUUUAAAAUUUUAAUGUAUAAUUUUCUAAUUCAAUCGUUCACAGUAUGUACUCACUCAUGCUAACUUUUUGUCGGUCUAUAAAUGUCUAGGGUUCCAAUCAUCCCAUGUAUAAAUUUUUGCAUUGAGAAGGAUAUCUUGGACAAUGUUGAUCUUGAUUGUGCCCUUAAUGACUUUGCAUCAAGAAAUGCCAGAAGAAACUUUUUCUGAAGCACUAAAGGAUUAUUGUUGUCGAUGGAAUCAGUCAAAUUUGGUUCUUAUUUGAGAGUACCCGGAGUGCGCAGCGUGCUACUUCAAUCUCUAGGUUUCACGGAUCAUCAGCAAG
This is an RNA transcript of Triticum aestivum (bread wheat), 2111 nucleotides long. RefSeq lists it as uncharacterized. Lineage: Eukaryota; Viridiplantae; Streptophyta; Magnoliopsida; Poales; Poaceae. The record is from RefSeq and is a predicted model, not a curated record. The transcript has 4 exons.